This is a long non-coding RNA of Dioscorea cayenensis subsp. rotundata (Guinea yam), 176 nucleotides long. RefSeq lists it as uncharacterized. NCBI's taxonomy places the organism in Eukaryota, Viridiplantae, Streptophyta, Magnoliopsida, Dioscoreales, Dioscoreaceae. The transcript has 3 exons. The record is from RefSeq and is a predicted model, not a curated record.
UAGCUUGCUAUUAUCUCCUUGGAAUUCCUCUUGCUGCUGCUCUUGGAUUUCUUUUUCAUUGGGGCUUGCAGGGAAUAUGGAUUGGGAUGAUAUCUGGUUACAUUGCUCAAACAUUGGUUCUCAUAACCAUUGUUUGUAAGACCAACUGGAAGGGUCAGGUUAUACAAGCGGAAAAA